GAGUUACUCCCUCCGAUCCAUAUUAAUUGUCUCGAAUUUGCCCAAAUAUGGAUGUUCUAUGCCUAAAAAGCGUCUAAAAAGCGUCUAGAUACAUGUAAUAUUUCGACAAUUAAUAUGGAUCGGAGGGAGUAGCUA
Non-coding RNA from Brachypodium distachyon (stiff brome), 135 nucleotides. The record is from Rfam. Lineage: Eukaryota; Viridiplantae; Streptophyta; Magnoliopsida; Poales; Poaceae.